Molecule: non-coding RNA, 98 nt
Organism: Gallibacterium salpingitidis
Lineage: Bacteria; Pseudomonadati; Pseudomonadota; Gammaproteobacteria; Pasteurellales; Pasteurellaceae
Rfam family: Bacterial small signal recognition particle RNA
About the family: The signal recognition particle (SRP) is a universally conserved ribonucleoprotein involved in the co-translational targeting of proteins to membranes. Archaeal SRP consists of a 7S RNA and homologues of the eukaryotic SRP19 and SRP54 proteins.
Source: Rfam
UUUUCGGUUCCUCGCAACAAACUCUAGCUCAGCGGGUCAGGUUCGGAAGAAAGCAGCCCAAGUUAGAACUUUGUGUGCCGAGAUUCAGCUGGAAAGGA